Cygnus olor (mute swan) is the source of this 1544-nucleotide long non-coding RNA. RefSeq lists it as uncharacterized. The transcript has 4 exons. Lineage: Eukaryota; Metazoa; Chordata; Aves; Anseriformes; Anatidae. The record is from RefSeq and is a predicted model, not a curated record.
UCUAUACAGUGAGUUCCUGAGGCCCUAAGGGAAGGAUCCUAGCUGGAGAAUGAGUUUGCUCCAGUGGGCAACAAGCCAGGGCUUUAGGGUUUUGACAGAGCAAAAGAAGCGCCUCGCUGACCUGAGACAAAUUGGUCUGACUGUGCUGCAAAAGCCAGGCUCAAGAUGUGCAUAGGUAACCCGCACCUUGCCAGAGCACUUGGGACUUAGGGCAGGGAAGCAUCCAUCCCUGAGACCUGGCAGUGGCACGGAGUGUGGUGGCCUGCCAGCCCUCCCUGUCAGCAUGCCUGGCUGUGGGGGCAUAAUGUAUCAGGAUAUGUAUGUCACCGCCAGCAUCCAUGGGGAAUCCCAAGCCUAAAAACCCCGCAAAACUAUUUUGCAUCCCCACCUACGGCAAUAUUGUAGGCUAUAAAUUUUGCAUGUGGUCACUGUACUCUUCCAGAGUGUGUAGGCGGCUGUCAGCUUCCUAAUCCUGGAUUUAUUGGCAGCGAUGAGAGGAGAGAGAAGGCUCUUGUCAGGAACCAAGAGGACAAGAAUCUUCUUGGCACUUUGGAGGACUCUCCCAUUGGUAGUUACGUGCAGCGGGGUCCCCACAGGCUCCCAGGAAUGUCACCCUUCCCAAACCACCACAAGCAACCCCCUAAGUUUCCAAUAAAACCCACUGCCCUCAGUUUUCCUCCCUUUGCCAUAUGCACAUACUGAGUGGCAAUCCAGCAGCAGCACCCUCACCGCCGCUGCUGAGGAGCUCAGGCAGAGCCACCAGCCCAAGCUGUACCUCCUUGCCCCCAGUUUCAGGUACCGGGGAUUUCACUGGAGCAAGACAGGAGCCCUGGGAUGAGCCUGCGCCUCUGCUGACUUCAGAGACAAACCUCCACACCCCAAGCUCCUCCUGGGGCAUGGGAAGAGGUUUUGGCAUCUACCUCCUUCUGCUGUGACAGGAGUCUAAAGCACCCUGGGAAGCCAGCAGAUCAUCUGCAAAAUGUUAAUGUAAAGUGUUCCCAUUUAAAGAUCCCUUUGCAUUGCAAGAGCCAUGUGAAGCAGUCUCUAUAGACAGGAGCAGCGCCCAAAUUAAGCUAGUGUGGAAGAAAGAGGAACAAGAAACCUUUGUAAAAGGCCCCGUGAAAUCCUCCCGUGCAAGAGAGUCCAUCCGCCGUGUAGGCAGGCGGCAUGAUUAGCGACGGGCGACACCGUCCACCCUGGUGCCAGGGAGCUUCUCGGAUCCACUCUACCAUCCAGGCAAGACGUGACUCACGCAGCUCGCUUGCAACGAAGGAGGACCAUCUGCUAGUCAUGAGCAGAUGACAAAUUCACUGCAUUGCGUCUUGUCGCUACUUCCAAAUUUCACAGCCUCUUUGUUCCAGAACGUUAUGAUGAUGACCAAAUGCCUCUGUCUGAUAACUUGGGCAAGUCGCAGAGAACCAUGCUGCCUGUCCAUGCCAGGUGCUUCCCACUGAGGUUAUAUGAAGAUCACCUGUGAUGAGGCUUUCUGGUUUCUCUGUGUUAUUAAAGAACUGACCUGGCGUGGCAUGCAGGUCUAUGCCAGG